RNAcentral lists this ribosomal RNA (460 nucleotides) under uncultured bacterium. Its description in RNAcentral is "partial 16S ribosomal RNA". It matches the Rfam family "Bacterial small subunit ribosomal RNA", at positions 338 to 795 of the family's 1533-position model. The record is from RNAcentral.
CCUACGGGUGGCAGCAGUGAGGAAUAUUGGUCAAUGGGCGCUAGCCUGAACCAGCCAAGUAGCGUGAAGGAUGACUGCCCUAUGGGUUGUAAACUUCUUUUAUAUGGGAAUAAACUGCAGUAUGUAUACUGCUUUGCUUUUACCUUAUGAAUAAGGAUCGGCUAACUCCGUUCCAGCAGCCGCGGUAAUACGGAGGAUUCGAGCGUUAUCCGGAUUUAUUGGGUGUAAAGGGAGCGUAGGCGGGUUGUUAAGUCAGUUGUGAAAGUUUGGGGCUCAACCGUAAAAUUGAAGUUGAUACUGGCAGCCUAGAGUAUAGUAGAGGUAGGUGGAAUUCGUGGUGUAGCGGUGAAAUGCUUAGAUAUCACGAAGAAUACUGAUUGCGAAGGCAGCCUGCUGGACUAUAACUGACGCUGAUGCGCGAAAGUGUGGGUAUCAAACAGGAUUAGAUACCCCGGUAGUC